CCCUUAGAGUUUGAUCCUGGCUCAGGACGAACGCUGGCGGCGCGCUUAACACAUGCAAGUCGAGCGAGAACCAGUCCUUCGGGACUGGGGACAGCGGCGAACGGGUGAGUAACACGUGGGUAAUCUGCCCUCGGCACCGGAAUAGCCCGGGGAAACCCGGAUUAAUGCCGGAUGGCCUCGCCGGCCCUCGGGGCGGCGAGAAAAGGUAGCUUCGGCCUCCGGCCGAGGAUGAGCCCGCGGCCGAUUAGCUUGUUGGUGGGGUAACGGCUCACCAAGGCGACGAUCGGUAGCUGGUCUGAGAGGACGAUCAGCCACACUGGGACUGAGACACGGCCCAGACUCCUACGGGAGGCAGCAGUGGGGAAUCUUGCGCAAUGGGCGAAAGCCUGACGCAGCGACGCCGCGUGCGGGAAGAAGGCCUUCGGGUUGUAAACCGCUUUCAGGAGGGAUGAAGCCACUCGGGUUAAUAGCCUAGAGGGUGACGGUACCUCCAGAAGAAGCCCCGGCUAACUACGUGCCAGCAGCCGCGGUAAUACGUAGGGGGCUAGCGUUGUCCGGAUUUAUUGGGCGUAAAGAGCGUGUAGGCGGCCAGGUAGGUCCGGUGUGAAAACUCGAGGCUCAACCUCGAGAUGUCAUCGGAAACCAUCUGGCUAGAGUCCGGAAGAGGAGAGUGGAAUUCCUGGGUGUAGCGGUGAAAUGCGCAGAUAUCAGAAGAACACCAAUGGCGAAAGCAGCUCUCUGGGACGUACUGACGCUGAGACGCGAAAGCGUGGGGAGCGACAGAUAGAUACCCUG
RNAcentral lists this ribosomal RNA (795 nucleotides) under uncultured bacterium. RNAcentral describes it as "bacterial SSU rRNA". It matches the Rfam family "Bacterial small subunit ribosomal RNA", at positions 1 to 789 of the family's 1533-position model. The record is from RNAcentral.